This 1100-nucleotide long non-coding RNA is filed under the name Capra hircus (goat). RNAcentral's name for it is "lncRNA (ENSCHIG00010004665.1)". Lineage: Eukaryota; Metazoa; Chordata; Mammalia; Artiodactyla; Bovidae. The record is from RNAcentral.
UGGGGUCGCAAAGAGUUGGACAUGACUGAGUGACUGAACUGAACUGAAGCCUGGCUGCUUACCAGGGGCAGUGUAAGCUCCCGUGAACUCAAAAGCCAGGGAAGAUGCAGAGACCCAACUUCUGCUUUCAAGAAGAUGUGGCCAGAGUUUGCCACACUCUUGAGGCCGUAUCUGCCCUCUUGUCAUGUAGAGCACAAUGACGAUCAAAUGCCUGGAGACAGUUCCCUUCCAGGUUCAAAUGUUCUCUCGUGGGCUUACUCUCUGCAUACGUUUAGCCUGGAGGUUUCUGCGACCCCCAGGCCAACUUCACCAGCGAGCAUCUCAGUGCUGGGCCAGAUCUGCAGCCAAGAGCUAUGCAUGUUUGUCCUUCCUACCUUGGGCCCUCCAGGCAGGGUCCUUUCAUGUGGGUUCCUGAACCAUGGCAGGGCUCACAAUCCUCCAUCUAUUCCCAAGGGCAGGUGCAGAGCUUUGGCCUUCUCAAUAGUAUUUUUGUGUGCCCCCACCGCCCCCAUUUCAUACACUCGGCAGUAGGUUCAGACAGUGAGGGGUGGUAAGUAUCUACAUGCAUGCAGCCUGUCUCAGAAAUAAUUUAGAAAGUGACGUACACUAAUUGGGCUGCUUUAAAAAUACUUCAGUUUUUAACAGCUAGUGGAAAUGCUACUAUUGAGCCAUUCUCAACAUCAUCAUGCUCUGGGCUCAUUUUCACAACUAACUACAAAAUAAUUUUAUCUUGGGUAUAAGACAGGAGUUAGUUUUGGUUCCACUCCCCAUCCUAUGAUAGGAAUCCUGGCUUGUUCUUACUUGCAGUUUUUACUUCAAGUUCCCUUAAUUUACAAGGAAACUUGUCUAAGGGUGAUCCAGCAAUAGUAGAGCGUUUGUUUGCUAAUUCCAGCCGCUGCAGGAAGACAAUGACCCUGUACCCUCCACUGAUCUGCAGCAAGAGGAAAUUUCUGAAUGAUCCCCCCCACACAGCCCCGCAGCUUUGCACGCUCCACUGGGUCUAAAAUACAAAACAUCAGCUCCUAGCAGUGGGCUUUCAAACAAACCAAUUUUUAAAAAGGAAUGUGGCUUACCCCAAAAAGAAGUUGAACGUUCCAGUU